RNAcentral lists this ribosomal RNA (233 nucleotides) under uncultured bacterium. RNAcentral describes it as "partial 16S ribosomal RNA". It matches the Rfam family "Bacterial small subunit ribosomal RNA", at positions 15 to 237 of the family's 1533-position model. The record is from RNAcentral.
GAUCAUGGCUCAGGAUGAACGCUAGCGACAGGCCUAACACAUGCAAGUCGAGGGGCAGCGAAGAGGUAGCAAUACCUCUGUCGGCGACCGGCGCACGGGUGAGUAACACGUAUGCAAUCCACCUGUAACAGGGGGAUAACCCGGAGAAAUCCGGACUAAUACCCCAUAAUAUGGGCGCUCCGCAUGGAGAGUCCAUUAAAGGGAGCAAUUUUGGUUACAGACGAGCAUGCGCU